RNAcentral lists this ribosomal RNA (261 nucleotides) under uncultured Clostridia bacterium. Its description in RNAcentral is "partial 16S ribosomal RNA". It matches the Rfam family "Bacterial small subunit ribosomal RNA", at positions 355 to 632 of the family's 1533-position model. The record is from RNAcentral. Lineage: Bacteria; Bacillati; Bacillota; Clostridia.
UCGGGAAUCUUGCGCAAUGGGGGAAACCCUGACGCAGCGACGCCGCGUGGGGGAGGAAGGCCUUCGGGUUGUAAACCCCUUUUCACUGGGACGAGGGAGGACGGUACCGGUGGAAUAAGCCCCGGCUAACUACGUGCCAGCAGCCGCGGUAAGACGUAGGGGGCGAGCGUUGUCCGGAGUUACUGGGCGUAAAGGGCGUGUAGGCGGCCUGACAAGUCAGGGGUGAAAGGCCGCGGCUCAACCGCGGUGUUGCUCUUGAUA